This 253-nucleotide ribosomal RNA is filed under the name uncultured bacterium. Its description in RNAcentral is "partial 16S ribosomal RNA". It matches the Rfam family "Bacterial small subunit ribosomal RNA", at positions 524 to 776 of the family's 1533-position model. The record is from RNAcentral.
UACGGAGGGUGCAAGCGUUGUUCGGAAUCACUGGGCGUAAAGGGCGUGUAGGCGGUCCGCUAAGUCUGAUGUGAAAGCCCGAGGCUUACCCUCGGAAGUGCAUUGGAGACUGGCGGACUGGAGUCCCGGAGAGGAGGGUGGAAUUCCUGGUGUAGCGGUGAAAUGCGCAGAUAUCAGGAGGAACACCGGUGGCGAAGGCGGGUCUCUGGGCCGUAACUGACGCUGAGGAGCGAAAGCGUGGGGAGCGAACAGG